Molecule: non-coding RNA, 796 nt
Organism: Callithrix jacchus (white-tufted-ear marmoset)
Lineage: Eukaryota; Metazoa; Chordata; Mammalia; Primates; Cebidae
Source: RefSeq, a predicted model, not a curated record
GCCAGCCCUCCUGUCACCUCCACACCGCGCUGGGCCCUCGGACCGCCCCAAGGCCCCCGCCGCCGCUGCAGCGCUGCACAGCCACUGCUACCCUCGCCUCUCCUUAGCCACCGCCAUGACGACCGCGUCCCCCUCACAGGUGCACCAGAACUACUACCAUGACUCAAGAGGCCGCCAUCAACCGCCAGAUCAACCUGCAGCUCUACGUCGUCUACCUGUCCAUGUCUUGCUACCUUGACCGCGAUGAUGCGGCUUUGAGGAACUUUGCCAGGUACUUUCUUCACCAAUCUCAUGAGGAGAGGGAACAUGCCGAGAAACUGAUGAAGCUGCAGAACCAACGAGGUGGCCGCAUCUUCCUCCGGGAUAUCAGGAAACCAGAGCAUGAUGACUGGGAGAGCAGGCUGAAUGCCAUGGAGAGUGCAUUAUCUUUGGGAAAAAAUGUGAAUCAGUCACUACUGGAACUGCACAAACUGGCCACUGACAAACAUGACCCCCAUUCGUGUGACUUCAUUGAGACGCACUACCUGAAUGAGCAGGUGAAAUCCAUCAAAGAAUUGGGUGACCACGUGACCAACUUGCGCAAGAUGGGAGCAUCCCAGUCUGGCUGGGCAGAAUAUCUCUUUGACAAGCACACCCUGGGAGACAGUGAUAAUGAAAGCUAAGCCUUAGGCUGAUUUCCCCAUAGCCCCGGGGUGACUUCCCUGGUCACCAAGGCAGUGCAUGCAUGUUGGGGUUUCCUUUACCUUUUCUAUAAGUUGUACCAAAACAUCCACCUAAGUUCUUUGUACCAUUUGUU